Molecule: ribosomal RNA, 503 nt
Filed under: uncultured bacterium
Lineage: Bacteria
Description: bacterial SSU rRNA
Rfam family: Bacterial small subunit ribosomal RNA
Source: RNAcentral
GAUCAUGGCUCAGGAUGAACGCUAGCUACAGGCUUAACACAUGCAAGUCGCGGGGCAGCAUGUCGGUUGCUUGCAACCGAUGAUGGCGACCGGCGCACGGGUGAGUAACGCGUAUCCAACCUUCCCGCAAGUAAGGGAUAACCCGUAGAAAUGCGGCCUAAUACCUUAUGUUUUCCUUAGAGGGCAUCUGAUGAGGAACAAAGAUCCGUCGCUUGCGGAUGGGGAUGCGUCUGAUUAGUUAGUCGGCGGGGUAACGGCCCACCGAGACGACGAUCAGUAGGGGUUCUGAGAGGAAAGUCCCCCACAUUGGAACUGAGACACGGUCCAAACUCCUACGGGAGGCAGCAGUGAGGAAUAUUGGUCAAUGGGCGGAAGCCUGAACCAGCCAAGUAGCGUGCAGGACGACGGCCCUAUGGGUUGUAAACUGCUUUUAUGCGGGGAUAAAGUGAGCCACGCGUGGCCUUUUGCAGGUACCGCAUGAAUAAGGACCGGCUAAUUCCGUG